This 253-nucleotide ribosomal RNA is filed under the name uncultured bacterium. RNAcentral's name for it is "partial 16S ribosomal RNA". It matches the Rfam family "Bacterial small subunit ribosomal RNA", at positions 524 to 776 of the family's 1533-position model. The record is from RNAcentral.
UACGAAGGGGGCUAGCGUUGUUCGGAAUUACUGGGCGUAAAGCGCGCGCAGGCGGUUCUUCAAGUCAGAGGUGAAAGCCCAGAGCUCAACUCUGGAAUGGCCUUUGAGACUAGAGAACUAGGGUACGGGAGAGGUGAGUGGAAUUCCGAGUGUAGAGGUGAAAUUCGUAGAUAUUCGGAAGAACACCAGUGGCGAAGGCGGCUCACUGGUCCGGUACUGACGCUGAGGUGCGAAAGCGUGGGGAGCAAACAGG